This 253-nucleotide ribosomal RNA is filed under the name uncultured prokaryote. Its description in RNAcentral is "partial 16S ribosomal RNA". It matches the Rfam family "Bacterial small subunit ribosomal RNA", at positions 524 to 776 of the family's 1533-position model. The record is from RNAcentral.
UACGUAGGAGGCGAGCGUUGUCCGGAGUUACUGGGCGUAAAGCGCACGCAGGCGGUCUUUGAAGUCUGCAGGGACAGGGCACAGCUCAACUGUGUCAGGCCUGUGGAAACUGGGAGACUUGAGGGCUUCAGAGGGAUGGGGAAUUCCGGGUGGAGUGGUGAAAUGCGUAGAGAUCCGGAAGAACACCAAUGGCGAAGGCACCAUCCUGGGGAGUCACUGACGCUCGGGUGCGAAAGCUAGGGGAGCGAACGGG